GAGUCUGUGGCUCAGCCAUCGUGACUAUGUAACCAGUAUUGGUCGGUGGCCCAAGGUCUCUCUCCUUUCAGGGUUCAACCUCCAACCUUAUUUCUGCUUCCUUCAUGUUGGAAUUCACACUGUGAGAAUUGUUGUCAUCCUUUCUCUACGACUCCAAGAGAAACUUUAUACUGGAGGAAGAAUAUUCUACCACUUUGGGAUGCUUCCAAAGAAAUGGGAUACCAAAGGAGUGAACUUCAGGUCAUUGGAAGUGGCCAAGCUGGAGGGCGACCUAUGGAGACAUGACCUUCAGUUCUUCCUGAGAUCGAUAAAGCUUAAAAGAAAAGAAAAAGCCAACUCAGCUUGUGCGUGGAUCCUGGACCUUGCUCUAAUACAGACCCCGCUCCUGGAGUGGCUGAACUGAAAGGACACUUGAUUGUCCUACAAUGAUGGAGCUAUAGAGUAUGGAGACCCAAGAUUAACCUUUCCAAAGCACACGCUGGGAAUUACUCUGGGUGUGGGUGUGGAGAAAGGAGAGAAAAACUGAGAAACUCAGAGACAGAGUUUGAAGAGGACUUUGUAAGUGAAGGUUUUUACCAUCCCUUGGUAAGUGUGUCCCUUUAAGGAAGAAAGGGGCUGGCUCCCAUUUGGAUCUACACAUCCCUGGGGAAGAUAUCAGAAUUUUCCAUUAAUAAACUUAGGAGUUUUAAGAUCCAUAAA
Long non-coding RNA from Homo sapiens (human), 699 nucleotides. The record is from Ensembl. Lineage: Eukaryota; Metazoa; Chordata; Mammalia; Primates; Hominidae.